This 1237-nucleotide long non-coding RNA is filed under the name Zostera marina. RNAcentral describes it as "long non-coding RNA (ZMAR_LNC001235)". Lineage: Eukaryota; Viridiplantae; Streptophyta; Magnoliopsida; Alismatales; Zosteraceae. The record is from RNAcentral.
ACAACAAAACUAUCCACUUUUAUUUAAUAUUUGUUGGUACCAGACCGUGGACCAGACCAAUAACGGUCGGGCCCGGCAACGCGAAAGGCCGUGGACCAUGGGCUCGACUACGUGAAAGGCCUGGGCCAAGGAAGGACCAGAGAAGCAAGAAGGGAUAAUAAAACCCUAUAAAUACCCCCUGGUUCAAGAGAGGAGAGAGGUUGAAGACUGGGAGAGUGAACUUGUGAGUGAAGGUUGUGACCUACAUGCUGAAGGUAUUCACUAUAGAUCGAGAUGCUUUACUCAAUCUAUCAUGGUUGAUCUCAUGAUUCUGAUCCACUACGAGUAGACGAUCUAUAGCUAGUAUUCAUGUUUUCUUUUAAUUUUGCUGAUCAAUGAUGCAGAGGAAGAUGUGGAAAGUAUUAUUAAUAAUUAUUUAUAAUGGGCACGUUUUCCAUGCGGUUCGUCCAUCAUGCGGAUGACUACGGACGGAUGGGUUCAUGAUUGCGGAGGAACGGGUGUGAUGGGUACACGAUUGCGGUUCCUGUUCCGGGAUUCCGGAUUCCGGUUGCAAUCGCGAUUCCAGUUCCAGGAACUGGCGUGGUUCCAAGUCCGCAAUUCCAAUUCCUCCGAUUUCAGGAAUUAGCCCAGUUCCUCCGAUUCGUCGGUGUUGUUCUGGCACGAUUAAUUCUAGUUCUUUCAAUUCGUCGGUGUUGUUUUGGCGCGAUUCCAGUUCCUCCGAUUCAUCGAUGUUGUUCUGGCGCGAUUCCAGUUCCUCUGAUUCGUCGGUGUUGUUCUGGCGCGAUUCCAGUUCCUCCGAUUCGUCGGUGUUAUUUUGGCACGAUUCCAGUUCCUUCGAUUCGUCGGCAGGAAGAAGAUUUAUAAAUAUACCCUUGAAAGAAGUUAAAAAAUAGCCAGACCGGACAUCGACGAAUAAGAUGACAUGUAUUUAUAAUAUCCGACGAACAAUAGCCAACCGCAUCUGAAGCUGGUUGUAUUUAUAAUAACAUUUAGAUCCUUGAUAUUUCUUUAUUGUUGUGAGAUUGUGAAGAUGACGGAAGAGAAUGAAGAAGAAAGUAUUGGUAUAAGAACCGUGUUGGUCACGGAUGUCUUCUUUUCUUCAUAUAGUAUUUACAAAAUGUAACUGUUGCCGAACGUGGAAAGUUAAUCAAAACCAACUUUAAAUAAUUACCGUUACAAACUUUAAAUAAUAAAAACGUUACUUUUUUAAAUAAUAAAAACGUUACUUUCUUAAUGU